CCUACGGGUGGCAGCAGUGGGGAAUAUUGCGCAAUGGGCGAAAGCCUGACGCAGCGACGCCGCGUGAGGGAUGAAGGUCUUCGGAUCGUAAACCUCUGUCAGCAGGGAAGAACGGUCACUGUGCUAAUCAGCAGUGAAUUGACGGUACCUGCAAAGGAAGCACCGGCUAACUCCGUGCCAGCAGCCGCGGUAAUACGGAGGGUGCGAGCGUUAAUCGGAAUUACUGGGCGUAAAGCGCUCGUAGGCGGUAUGUCAAGUCAAGGGUGAAAUCCCCGCGCGCAACGUGGGAACUGCCUGUGAAACUGGCAAACUGGGGUGUGUGAGAGGAUAGUGGAAUUCCAGGUGUAGGAGUGAAAUCCGUAGAUAUCUGGAGGAACAUCAGUGGCGAAGGCGACUAUCUGGCACAUAACUGACGCUGAGGAGCGAAAGCGUGGGUAGCAAACAGGAUUAGAUACCCUGGUAGUC
This 465-nucleotide ribosomal RNA is filed under the name uncultured bacterium. RNAcentral describes it as "partial 16S ribosomal RNA". It matches the Rfam family "Bacterial small subunit ribosomal RNA", at positions 338 to 795 of the family's 1533-position model. The record is from RNAcentral.